RNAcentral lists this ribosomal RNA (253 nucleotides) under uncultured bacterium. Its description in RNAcentral is "partial 16S ribosomal RNA". It matches the Rfam family "Bacterial small subunit ribosomal RNA", at positions 524 to 776 of the family's 1533-position model. The record is from RNAcentral.
UACGGAGGGGGCUAGCGUUGUUCGGAAUUACUGGGCGUAAAGCGCACGUAGGUGGCGCAUCAAGUCAGGGGUGAAAGGCCUGGGCUCAACCUGGGAACUGCCUUUGAGACUGAUGUGCUCGAGUCCGGGAGAGGGCAGUGGAAUUCCCAGUGUAGAGGUGAAAUUCGUAGAUAUUGGGAAGAACACCAGUGGCGAAGGCGGCUGCCUGGCCCGGCACUGACACUGAGGUGCGAAAGCGUGGGGAGCAAACAGG